RNAcentral lists this non-coding RNA (31 nucleotides) under Mus musculus (house mouse). The record is from RNAcentral. Lineage: Eukaryota; Metazoa; Chordata; Mammalia; Rodentia; Muridae.
UGAUAAUUCUUGGUAAUUUGACCUGUAUUUU